RNAcentral lists this ribosomal RNA (504 nucleotides) under uncultured bacterium. Its description in RNAcentral is "bacterial SSU rRNA". It matches the Rfam family "Bacterial small subunit ribosomal RNA", at positions 899 to 1397 of the family's 1533-position model. The record is from RNAcentral.
ACUCAAAUGAAUUGACGGGGGCCCGCACAAGCGGUGGAGCAUGUGGUUUAAUUCGACGCAACGCGAAGAACCUUACCGGGGCUUGACAUCUUCCUGCCCGCCUGAGAAAUCAGGUCUUCUCCCUUACCGGAGACAGGAAGACAGGUGGUGCAUGGUUGUCGUCAGCUCGUGUCGUGAGAUGUUGGGUUAAGUCCCACAACGAGCGCAACCCUUGUACUUAGUUGCUAACUGGGUUACCAGUGCACUCUAAGUAGACUGCCGCAGAUAAUGCGGAGGAAGGUGGGGAUGACGUCAAAUCAUCAUGCCCCUUACGUCCCGGGCUACACACGUGCUACAAUGGUCUGUACAGAGGGUAGCAAAAGAGCAAUCUGGAGCCAAUCCCAAAAAGCAGGCCCCAGUUCGGAUUGGAGGCUGCAACUCGCCUCCAUGAAGUCGGAAUCGCUAGUAAUCGCGGAUCAGCGCGCCGCGGUGAAUACGUUCCCGGGCCUUGUACACACCGCCCGU